GACGAACGCUGGCGGCGUGCUUAACACAUGCAAGUCGAGCGGUAAGGCCCUUUCGGGGGUACACGAGCGGCGAACGGGUGAGUAACACGUGGGUGACCUGCCCUCAGCUCUGGGAUAAGCCUGGGAAACCGGGUCUAAUACCGGAUAUGACUCCAUGACGCAUGUUGUGGGGUGGAAAGCCUUGUGCGGCUGAGGAUGGGCCCGCGGCCUAUCAGCUUGUUGGUGGGUGAUGGCCUACAAGGCGACGACGGUAGCCGGCCUGAGAGGGCGACCGGCCACACUGGGACUGAGACACGGCCCAGACUCCUACGGGAGGCAGCAGUGGGGAAUCUUGCGCAAUGGGCGAAAGCCUGACGCAGCGACGCC
This 366-nucleotide ribosomal RNA is filed under the name uncultured bacterium. RNAcentral's name for it is "bacterial SSU rRNA". It matches the Rfam family "Bacterial small subunit ribosomal RNA", at positions 28 to 398 of the family's 1533-position model. The record is from RNAcentral.